ACAGGUAAGCAAACCAAGGUCUCUCUCUCUCUGGUACUACAAGUAUAAUGUUUGAGCUGGUGACCAACUGAAUGGCAUGACAUAUUGGCAUGCAAGAAGAAAGGUGGAGUGGGGUCCUUGCUUAGGCAUGGAGGAAAGCAUGAUGAUGGAGUGACAUAAAGUUUAGCAUACAUGACUGAGCAACGAGCAUCGUCAAAAUUUAAUAGGCUCAGCAAUGGACAUGCAUUCACCAAACGGAGCAUUAUUCUUUCUCAUUCACCUGUGUCUCAUCAAUCAAUUUCUCCAAAUGUUGCUCCACAUACUUUUGGAAUCUAAUAAGAUCAACCAUGUCCUUGGUUUGGAAGGACUCAAUGGCAGCUUUGAUCUCCAUGAUUGAUUUCCCAUGAUUCCUGACAUCCUCUUCAAUCUGUUGGAAAUAUGCUGAUCUACAAUGCCCAUAGAAGAAAAUCAAGUGCUAAGUAAGCAAAAACCAUAUUUGUUCUGUUUUUGUUUGGCACUCUGCAAGCAGCAGUAGCUGAAGCAUACCUUUUUGUCAUUUCUGCCAGCGCAUCUGCCAUUCCAUGCUUCCCCCCUGCAGAUCCUCCAACUUUUGGCCUUUUUCUAUCAUGAGGGCCUUUGCCAUGCCAAGUGGAGGAGGAGGAGGUGGUGCAGCUCCAUUUGGUUGUGGCAUAGGAAUUGGUGACACUGGUACAAACCCUUUAGAUGUUGAUACAGGCAGAGGAGAAGUUGCUGUUCCAUUUGAAGGAAGAUUGACAGGUGGUAACAAAUUUUCUGAUGGCAUAGUUGGAGCUUGAUCAGACACUAUUGAUGGAGGUGAUUUUCUAGAUGACAAGUUGAAUGGGAGGUAUUUUAUUUCAAUUGGCCGCAAUUUCUCCACUGCAUGAACUCUGAGAGACAAUAGAAAAGGUGAGGCAUAUGUAGCAUUUGCAAACUCCCCAAUUUCCAUAGAGAAUGAAACUGCAGGAGCGAAUGUUGCUGGAGUAUCUGGAGAAGGACAGGAAUCUCCAAUGGAUUCAAAAGCGUUAUAGAGAUGGUGCAAUACCUGUAACGAACCUGAUCGAAGGAUGUCUCUCCUGUUUCUGGAGUCACAUUAUAGUUUACAAUAUUGGGGUAUAAGUUGUGGAGAUCUUCAACAGUGCCCAUCAUCAACUGCCGGAAGAUCCAAAAUAUGAAAUUUUCAGGAAUAAAUAGAUUUGAGAACUUCCUUGGCUUCAGUAAAAGUAAAUAGAUGAGGACCUCAUUAAUGGGAGCAGAACCAUCACAGGGAGGAAGGUCAAUGAUGUCUCUAAAAGAAUUUUCAAAGUGCCAAAGCUGGAAACUGAGAUUUGAAUUGAAGAGAAAGAGAAGAAUGAAGGGUAAAUUUUUUUAAGUCUGAAAAACUCUCAACUGUUUACCAUU
Molecule: non-coding RNA, 1398 nt
Organism: Jatropha curcas
Lineage: Eukaryota; Viridiplantae; Streptophyta; Magnoliopsida; Malpighiales; Euphorbiaceae
Source: RefSeq, a predicted model, not a curated record